GAUGAACGCUGGCGGCGUGCCUAAUACAUGCAAGUCGAGCGAACAGACGAGGAGCUUGCUCCUCUGACGUUAGCGGCGGACGGGUGAGUAACACGUGGAUAACCUACCUAUAAGACUGGGAUAACUUCGGGAAACCGGAGCUAAUACCGGAUAAUAUAUUGAACCGCAUGGUUCAAUAGUGAAAGACGGUUUUGCUGUCACUUAUAGAUGGAUCCGCGCCGCAUUAGCUAGUUGGUAAGGUAACGGCUUACCAAGGCGACGAUGCGUAGCCGACCUGAGAGGGUGAUCGGCCACACUGGAACUGAGACACGGUCCAGACUCCUACGGGAGGCAGCAAUAGGGAAUCUUCCGCAAUGGGCGAAAGCCUGACGGAGCAACGCCGCGUGAGUGAUGAAGGUCUUCGGAUCGUAAAACUCUGUUAUUAGGGAAGAACAAAUGUGUAAGUAACUAUGCACGUCUUGACGGUACCUAAUCAGAAAGCCACGGCUAACUACGUG
RNAcentral lists this ribosomal RNA (497 nucleotides) under uncultured bacterium. RNAcentral's name for it is "partial 16S ribosomal RNA". It matches the Rfam family "Bacterial small subunit ribosomal RNA", at positions 28 to 507 of the family's 1533-position model. The record is from RNAcentral.